CCUACGGGAGGCAGCAGUGGGGAAUAUUGCACAAUGGGGGAAACUCUGAUGCAGCAACGCCGCGUGAGUGAAGAAGUAUUUCGGUAUGUAAAGCUCUAUCAGCAGGGAAGAGAAUGACGGUACCUGACUAAGAAGACCCGGCUAACUACGUGCCAGCAGCCGCGGUAAUACGUAGGGGGCGAGCGUUAUCCGGAUUUACUGGGUGUAAAGGGAGCGUAGACGGUUCUGGAAGUCUGAAGUGAAAGCCCGUGGCUUAACCGCGGAACGGCUUUGGAAACUGUAUGGCUGGAGUGCAGGAGAGGUAAGCGGAAUUCCUAGUGUAGCGGUGAAAUGCGUAGAUAUUAGGAGGAACACCAGUGGCGAAGGCGGCUGACUGGACUGUAACUGACGUUGAGGCUCGAAAGCGUGGGGAGCAAACAGGAUUAGAUACCCGGGUAGUC
Molecule: ribosomal RNA, 440 nt
Filed under: uncultured bacterium
Lineage: Bacteria
Description: partial 16S ribosomal RNA
Rfam family: Bacterial small subunit ribosomal RNA
Source: RNAcentral